Molecule: non-coding RNA, 69 nt
Organism: Phrynosoma platyrhinos (Desert horned lizard)
Lineage: Eukaryota; Metazoa; Chordata; Lepidosauria; Squamata; Phrynosomatidae
Source: the annotation of a GenBank genome assembly
AGCCCGGUGUAGUGGUUUGAGCAUUGGACUAGGACACCAAAGACCAGGGUUCAAAUCCCCACUCAGCUA